Solenopsis invicta (red fire ant) is the source of this 401-nucleotide long non-coding RNA. RefSeq lists it as uncharacterized. NCBI's taxonomy places the organism in Eukaryota, Metazoa, Arthropoda, Insecta, Hymenoptera, Formicidae. The transcript is spliced from 3 exons. The record is from RefSeq and is a predicted model, not a curated record.
UUGUAGGGAAAAUCCUAAUACUGUGGUUUCAGUCGCAACAUUUACAACCGUGGCAAUAGUUACACCUGCGAUCUCUUGAAUGGACGUAGACAAGAAUGUAAACAACGAAGUGCACUCCCAAGGUACCCACAUGUUAUAAGGAAUGGCACAAAGCUGUCACAGCGUAAAGACUGCCUCAAAUAUGGGAUAAGUUCUUAAUAUGAGAUAACGAGGUUUCUGCUUCAUUAAUAAACGCAUGUGGUUGGUACCAUCAUAAACUUAUUACUCUUGAGAAUUUCGAUUAAAUUGAUAAUUUGGUUGCGAUAGAUUACCGCGGUACUUGCUUUAAACAAUAAGCUAAUUGUCGAAAAGAAAAAUGGGGAAGUCGAAGCGAAUUCUUCCACGUUAUCGAUGACAAAGAU